ACUACGAGAGGCAGCAGUGGGGCAUAUUGCACAAUGGGGGAAACCCUGAUGCAGCGCCGCCGCGUGAGUGAAGAAGUAUUUCGGUAUGUAAAGCUCUAUCAGCAGGGAAGAAAAUGACGGUACCUGCUUAAGAAGCCCCGGCUAACUACGUGCCAGCAGCCGCGGUAAUACGUAGGGGGCAAGCGUUAUCCGGAUUUACUGGGUGUAAAGGGAGCGUAGACGGCAGCACAAGUCUGGAGUGAAAUGCCGGGGCUUAACCCCGGAACUGCUUUGGAAACUGUGCAGCUAGAGUGCAGGAGAGGUAAGUGGAAUUCCUAGUGUAGCGGUGAAAUGCGUAGAUAUUAGGAGGAACACCAGUGGCGAAGGCGGCUUACUGGACUGUAACUGACGUUGAGGCUCGAAAGCGUGGGGAGCAAACAGGAUUAGAUACCCGGGUAGUC
Molecule: ribosomal RNA, 440 nt
Filed under: uncultured bacterium
Lineage: Bacteria
Description: partial 16S ribosomal RNA
Rfam family: Bacterial small subunit ribosomal RNA
Source: RNAcentral